GAUCCAAAAUUCUUCCCUACCAGCCUUUUCCCUUCCAUCUGGGGAUUAGCCCAGGCCCAUGGGUAAAUCACAUCUUCCUGCCAGGAUCCAAUUCAGGAUACCAUAUCGCAAUUUGUAAUUCAUUAUUUUAAAUUUUAUUUGUAUAAAAUUGACACAUAUUCAUGGUUUAAAAAGUCAAAAGAUUGUAUACCACUUAAAACAAAGAAAAGCAAUCUGCCCAAACGUUCCUCACCUCAAGUUCCUUUCUCCCAAAGGUAAACAAUUUUAUCUUUCUCUCCCUUUCAUC
Molecule: long non-coding RNA, 286 nt
Filed under: Cervus hanglu yarkandensis (Yarkand deer)
Lineage: Eukaryota; Metazoa; Chordata; Mammalia; Artiodactyla; Cervidae
Description: lncRNA (ENSCHYG00000006787.1)
Source: RNAcentral